GAGUUGAUCCUGGCUACAGGACACGCUGGCGGCGUGCUUAACACAUGCAAGUCGAACGAUGAACCGGUUUCGGCCGGGGAUUAGUGGCGAACGGGUGAGUAACACGUGGGCAAUCUGCCCUGUACUCUGGGAUAAGCCCGGGAAACUGGGUCUAAUACCGGAUACGACACUCCGAGGCAUCUCGGGGUGUGGAAAGUUCCGGCGGUGCAGGAUGAGCCCGCGGCCUAUCAGCUUGUUGGUGGGGUAAUGGCCUACCAAGGCGACGACGGGUAGCCGGCCUGAGAGGGUGACCGGCCACACUGGGACUGAGACACGGCCCAGACUCCUACGGGAGGCAGCAGUGGGGAAUAUUGCACAAUGGGCGAAAGCCUGAUGCAGCGACGCCGCGUGAGGGAUGACGGCCUUCGGGUUGUAAACCCCUUUCAGCAGGGAAGAAGCGAAAGUGACGGUACCUGCAGAAGAAGCACCGGCUAACUACGUG
RNAcentral lists this ribosomal RNA (481 nucleotides) under uncultured Actinomycetales bacterium. Its description in RNAcentral is "bacterial SSU rRNA". It matches the Rfam family "Bacterial small subunit ribosomal RNA", at positions 9 to 507 of the family's 1533-position model. Lineage: Bacteria; Bacillati; Actinomycetota; Actinomycetes; Actinomycetales. The record is from RNAcentral.